Lolium perenne is the source of this 1219-nucleotide non-coding RNA. NCBI's taxonomy places the organism in Eukaryota, Viridiplantae, Streptophyta, Magnoliopsida, Poales, Poaceae. The record is from RefSeq and is a predicted model, not a curated record.
GCACCGGCCCAUGACCAGUUCGACAUAUGUUCGCUUGCGGAAAAAAAGCGGCACCACGACUCUGUUCAUCUUCCUCGCGUGGUCGCCCCAUAGAUCUCUCCCCCACCUCGCUCGGUUUGUCUUCGUCCAUCACCACCGCUCGCAACGGGAACGGGUAACUCCACGUUGGUGAUCCCCGGCUCCGGAUUUCGUUUGCUCCUACCUCAAGACCUCCGGAUUUCUUAGGAUCCAAUCUGGCAGGUUGAUCCCCGACCAUGGAUUUCGUCUGGACCUUCGGAUUUUUUGGGAUUUCUUUCGAAUUCAUUGGGAUUUCUUUCAGAUUUAUAGGGAUUUCUACCGGAUUCAUCGACACUGAGCACAAUGCCUUCCUCCAUUGCCUCAAAUAUCUCUUCUGAAGGUUGCGAGCGUCUUCUGGUCUUAGCUGAGCCAACAAGGGUCUAUCAAUCGGUUCAAGUGGUCGUGCUCCACUUGGUAAGGAACACACAGGCACAGGGCGUGGAAUACAUCAUCAGCUUCAGGUUAUAAAUAAGCUGAGCUGAAGGACCAGUCAACUUAGAGGCAUGUCAGUCUGUUCAUCAUCAUUUUAUCCAAGCUGGGGCAAUUUCCUUUCUCUACAGGGUACAUGCUACUGCUGUCUAUCAUCACGUUUCUCUUGAAGCACAAUACUCGGCAACGUCAAUCUGCCUUAUCUUCUAAUCUCCCGCUAGAUCUAAUCUAGCAUCAUCUCAAUGCAGUCAUCAUGCAACUUUUGAAUUCAGUUUCCAGAUUUUAGAGAAACAUGCAAGGAUCUCUACAAUAGCUACCAGUACCACGACAUGAGUACCUGAAGAUGAAUUCAAUAUUUUCGAACCUUCAAGUCCACCAAGGCCACAUUUUCUCAGUAAUAUCUAUUGCCUCACCCAGAUUAUAUUGACGGAGUUUAUUGAAAAUCUAUCUCCAUAUAUCGAAUAAUGGGAAUCUAUUUCUGGUCUGGUAGCAACUCUUUGCAUUCUGAAACGUGCUUGGGGUAACUGAUCUCAAAGGACUAUUAAAUGAAGUUGGUAAAUUCUAUAAUUGAAGCUUUUGAUUAUUUCUGAAGAUAUAAGGAGUCAGGUGAGUGUUGCAAGUACUGCUUUCUAUCGAUACUCUGAUAAUUCACUUAACUUCAAGCUUACAACCUGUCUAUUGAAGUGUGCACAUAUUAUUUUGAAUUGCUUCUUUUAAUUGUACUUCGGGGAUA